UGGGGAAUAUUGGACAAUGGGCGAAAGCCUGAUCCAGCAAUGCCGCGUGAGUGAUGAAGGCCUUAGGGUUGUAAAGCUCUUUUACCAGGGAUGAUAAUGACAGUACCUGGAGAAUAAGCUCCGGCUAACUCCGUGCCAGCAGCCGCGGUAAUACGGAGGGAGCUAGCGUUGUUCGGAAUUACUGGGCGUAAAGCGUACGUAGGCGGUUAUUCAAGUCAGAGGUGAAAGCCUGGAGCUCAACUCCAGAACUGCCUUUGAAACUAGAUAACUAGAAUCACGGAGAGGUUAGUGGAAUUCCGAGUGUAGAGGUGAAAUUCGUAGAUAUUCGGAAGAACACCAGUGGCGAAGGCGACUAACUGGACGUGUAUUGACGCUGAGGUACGAAAGCGUGGGGAGCAAACA
RNAcentral lists this ribosomal RNA (402 nucleotides) under uncultured bacterium. RNAcentral describes it as "bacterial SSU rRNA". It matches the Rfam family "Bacterial small subunit ribosomal RNA", at positions 355 to 774 of the family's 1533-position model. The record is from RNAcentral.